GUAUUUAUACUAGAAUAUAUAUAUAUGAGUUGUUUUCGAUGAUACAGUUUCCGAAUCGACGAUCGCCCUCGUACUUAUAAGUUGUUUUCGAUGAUAUAGCUUCCGAAUCGACGAUCCACACCGUUAAACGUUAUUUACAGUAUUUAAAACUUCUAGAAAUCAAAUUUUAUAAUUUUUCGACAUCAUUUAUCUUACGAUCAAGAGGUCACAAAUUUGACAAUUUUUAACGGCCAGUAUAGGAUACUUGCUAGUUUAACGGUGUAAACGAAUCGGAAUUUGUUGAAUUUUUGAUAAAAAAUUCUAUUCACUACAUAGAUAAAGAUCAAUAACUCCGAUCUUGAAUUUAAGGAUCCGAUCAUCCUUUUUUAGGACGUCGUUCGAUUUUGACCGUUCAUUUUAUGCCCACUUGAUAGACUUUAUUAUGAUUUCGAAAAUUUACGAAAUUUAUUUUCUAGAAAUUUCAAAUACUCUAGAUCAUAUUUAACGGAGUGGAUCGUCGAUUCGGAAGCUCCAUCAUUGAAAACAACUUAUGAGUACAAGGGCUCCAAUACUCAUAAUAGUAUAGUAGCCAUGACCUCUAUAUAUAUAUAUAUAUAUAUAUAUAUAUAUAGAGUCCGGCUACUAUACUCUUAUGAGCAUAGAGCCUCUUGUACUCAUAAGUUUUUGGCGGUUAGAUUUACCCUUUAAUUAUUUUCACCCGUUAGAUUAUACUAUUCAACCAACUACUCACUCAACCCUAGGGGGCCCACUAUCAACCUAACCAUAACUACUCUCAUCCUAACCGCACAUUUUUUCAUCUGAACGGCUGAAAACUUAUGAGUACAAGAGGCUCUAUACUCAUAUGAGUAUAGUAGCCCCAGCCUAUAUAUAUAUAUAUAUAUAUAUAUAUAUAUAUAUAUAUAUAGAGUGAGGCUACUAUGCUAUCGGAAGCACGGAGCCUUCCGUGCUUCCAGCUCGUUUUCGAUGUUGCGACUUUCGAAUCGUCGAUCGGCUCCGUUAAACUUGAUCUAGAGUAUUUGAAGUACCUAGAAAAUAAAUUUUAUGAUUUUACGAUAUCAUUUGCCUAGUGAACGAAGGGGCUCAAAAUCAACGGCUGAAAAUAAAAAUCUUACAAAAUGUAAUAAUAUGACAUUAAAAUUUUAAAUCAAAGAUAUUGAUCUUGUUUUAUAUAGUAUAAAGAAUUUUCUAUCAAAAUUUCACGUGAUUUGGAUAUUUCUAUAUCGUUAAACUUGCAAACGGCUCAACACGGCCAUUAAAAUUAUUGAUUUUGAGUCCCAUCGAUCACUAGGCAAAUGAUAUCGAAAAAUCAUAAAAUUUAUUUUCUAAGUACUUCAAAUACUCUAGAUCAAGUUUAACGGAGCCGAUCGACGAUUCGAAAGUCGCAACAUCGAAAACGAGCUGGAAGCACAGAAGGCUCCGUGCUUCCGAUAGCAUAGUAGCCUCACUCUAUAAAUAUAUAUAUAUAUAUAGGCCAUGGCUACUAUACUAUUAUGAGUAUUGGAGCCCUCGUACUCAUAAGUUGUUUUCAAUGAUGGAGCUUCCGAAUCGACGAUCCACUCUGUUAAAUAUGAUUUAAAGUAUUUGAAAUUUCUAGAAAAUAAAUUUCGUAAAUUUUCGAAAUCAUAAUAAAGUCCAUCAAGUAGGCAUAAAAUGAACGGUCAAAAUCGAAUGACGUCCUUAAAAAGGAUGAUCGGAACUUUCAAUUCAAGAUCGGAGUUAUUGAUCUUUAUCUAUGUAGUGAAUAGAAUUUUCUAUCAAAAAUUCAACAAAUUCCGAUUCUUUUACACCGUUAAACUAGCAAGUAUCCUAUACUGGCCGUUAAAAAUUGUCAAAUUUGUGACCUCUUGAUCGUAAGGUAAAUGUGUCACGCCCCGGGGUCCCUUUUAGUUUAAAACAUAGCAGAAAAGCGUCUGAAUUUUUUUUUUUUUUUGAAAACCUCACUCCAGAGUAUGUCAGAUCCGCUACAAACACAGGGAAUCCACUGUGCACACGGACAGAGUCUCCCCUGUAUUUUCACGGCGUCGCACAAGUACAAGAAGCAAUCCAGAUACAAUCACAACCAAAUGAACAUACAAGUAACCAACAAUUAUAUAUUCAUACACCAUUCACAUCACAGGUUCAUAUUUAUAUAUUCAAUAUUUAAACAUAAAUCCACAUCUAUCAGUUAAAAUAUUUCCAACUCAGAAAAAGGUUUUGAAAUACUAAGAUACAAAAUCCACAGAAAAUCUUUUGGAAACUGUUCCCUACACGGAAACUUUUCUCUUUUAAAAAUGCUACCACGAGGAGUAGAAAACCUUUUAUUUACGAAAAUUCAGGAAUCUUCUUCUCAUUCGAAAAACCAACUGAAGUCUUGAAUAUUUUAACAUAAUGAAAUACUCAACCAUAUAAACCCACUAAGCUAUAUAUCAAAAGAAAUAAUAAGGGCAAAAGCUAAGCCGAAUAACCUGGGUCAGAAGAUCUAUCGACCGCUACGUACAUGUCUCACGUCUCGUCUCAACCCUUACCGCCCGCGAUACCUGAAAAAUAGUGGGGGAGGUGAGAACAUGUAAACAUGUCUCCCCUCCCAGUGGGUACCGCAAGCCGNNNNNNNNNNNNNNNNNNNNNNNNNNNNNNNNNNNNNNNNNNNNNNNNNNNNNNNNNNNNNNNUACUUCAAAUACUCUAGAUCAAGUUUAACGGAACCGAUCGACGAUUCGAAAGUCGCAACAUCGAAAACGACCUGAAAGCACGGAAGGCUCCGUGCUUCCAGAAGCAUAGUAGCCUCACUCUAUAUAUUUAACGGUGUGGAUCGUCGAUUCGGAAGCUGUAUCAUCGAAAACAACUUAUAAGUACGAGGGCGAUCGUACUAUAAUAGUAUAGUAGCCGGACCCUAUAUAGGCCAUGGCUACUAUACUAUUAUGAGUAUUGGAGCCCUCGUACUCAUAAGUUGUUUUCAAUGAUGGAGCUUCCGAAUCGACGAUCCACUNAGAAGCCAACUUCUCACCGCGGCUUCUCCGGAAAAUCGAGUUACUAUUCACUUUAAGUGAAACUUGGAAAUCGCGUAGAAUUUCCGUUUUAACUCGAUUUCGCCCGAAACUUGACGAGUGCUUUUGUAAUUAAAUUACACACAAAAACAUCGUCAACUGAGAGUUUAGCUACACUGCAAAAAUCUCAGUCCUUACAUCAUAUAUAUGCAUGAUCGCUGAAUAUUUUACCUAAGAUUAAGCAGAAGAGGGAUUAGUUAUGAAAUAUAAAUUAUAUAACUCACAUCUAAUCAAGUAAAUAUAAGUCAGUUCAAUAGAAAGAAGCAGGCAGAAUGCAGAGAAAGUGCAGCAAGUAGUAAAAGACCACACAGAGUGGAAAGAAUAAGAAGAAGAAGCAACUAAGUAUGAUAUAGUAUGUAACUAAGCCCACAAAACAUUGGAAUAUGUGCUCAGGCCAUAUACUUUAAGGUAUCGUUUGGUUCGGGGAUAAGUAAAAAGUGGCUAUUCCAGGGAAAAGUAUAAAUUGAGGUAUAAGCGGGAAUUAGAUCAAUUUUGCGUUUGGAUGAAAAUUAGGUUAUUCCUGUGAAUAAAAAAAAUAGCGUUUGGUUAGAUAAGAUGUAAUAAAAAGUGUAGUGGGUUUUAAUAAAUAAAACAUAAUGAUAUUACCCACCUAUUAUAUUUUAAUUUAAAUUUUUAAUUUUUAAUUUUAUAUUUUUAAAUUUAAAUUUUUAACUUUGAAAUUUCAAAUUUUGAAAUCUCAAAUUUUAAAUUCAAAAUUUUAAAUUUUAAAUUUCAAACUUUAAAUUUAAGAUCAAAUUUAAAUUUAAAAAAUAUAAAAUAUCAAAUUUUAAAUUUUAAAAAUUUAACAUAUCAAAAUUUAGAAUUUAGAAUUUAAAAUUAAAAACUUUAAUUUUGAGAUUACAAAUUUUAAAUUUUAAAAUUUUAAAUUUUAAAUGUUUAAAUUUUAAAAUAAGAAUAGGGGUGGGAACAAUUAAUAAAAAUAAUUUAUUAUAAUAAAUUUAUAAAGUUUUUUAAAAUUCUACUUAAACUUAAAUUUAAUAAAUAUAAUUUAUUAUAAUAUUUAAAUAUAAAUAAUAUGUAUUAAUAUAGUACAAUUAAUAAAUUUAUAAUAAAAAUAAUGUAUUAUAAUAUAUAACAUAUUAUAUUUAUAUAAUUUAGUGUUAAUUCAAUUUAAAAUUUUAAUUAAGUUUGAAAUUAAGCAUUGGAAUAGCACUAUUCCACCAAAAAGGUGGAAUAGCAAAUUCCUUGCUAUUCCGAGAGAACCUGGAAUAGUAAGGUUUGACCGGGAUAAAAUAUUCCGGUAAAAAAUUGCGCCGUUUAGCGGAAUAGCGGGAAUAACUUUCGUUAUUCUCACUUAUCCUCCGAACCAAACGGGGCCUAAUGUUAUUGUAUUUAUACUAGAAUAUAUGCUUAGGGUCCUUACUAUUAUGAGUAUGAUCGCCCUCGUACUUAUUAGUUGUUUUCGAUGAUACAGCUUCCGAAUCGACGAUCCACACCGUUAAACAUUAUUUACAGCAUUUAAAACUUCUAGAAAUCAAAUUUUAUAAUUUUUCGACAUCAUUUAUCUUACGAUCAAGAGGUCACAAAUUUGACAAUUUUUAACGGCCAGUAUAGGAUACUUGCUAGUUUAACGGUAUAAAAGAAUCGGAUUUUGUUGAAUUUUUGAUAGAAAAUUCUAUUCACUACAUAGAUAAAGAUCAAUAACUCUGAUCUUGAAUUGAAGGAUCCGAUCAUCCUUUUUUAGGACGUCAUUCGAUUUUGACCGUUCAUUUUAUGCCCACUUGAUAGACUUUAUUAUGAUUUCAAAAAUUUACGAAAUUUAUUUUCUAGAAAUUUCAAAUACUCUAGAUCAUAUUUAACGGAGUGGAUCGUCGAUUCGGAAGCUCCAUCAUUGAAAACAACUUAUGAGUACA
This 4895-nucleotide long non-coding RNA is filed under the name Ananas comosus (pineapple). RNAcentral's name for it is "long non-coding RNA (ACOM_LNC013121)". The record is from RNAcentral. Lineage: Eukaryota; Viridiplantae; Streptophyta; Magnoliopsida; Poales; Bromeliaceae.